AAGUCGUAACAAGGUUUCCGUAGGUGAACCUGCGGAAGGAUCAUUAACACGUAUCCAAACGUUAAAACCCACCCCGUGAACCUUCAUCCUGCUCUUGUAACCCGCGUAGUUCGUAAUCUCUGAUAAAUCAUAGCCCGGAAAGUUGUAGUGAUUCAGAGACCUCUGGCUACGUGCGAACAUUGGAACAGUUACAAUCGAGCGGUAGUUCUAUAGGCAAUGUUACAUUGGGUAAAAAAACCGAACAACUGUUAACAAUGGAUAUCUUGGUUCUC
Molecule: unclassified non-coding RNA, 272 nt
Filed under: fungal sp.
Lineage: Eukaryota; Fungi
Description: partial internal transcribed spacer region
Rfam family: Eukaryotic small subunit ribosomal RNA (bases 1-46)
Source: RNAcentral